AUACGGAGGAUCCGAGCGUUAUCCGGAUUUAUUGGGUUUAAAGGGUGCGCAGGCGGGAGAUUAAGUCGGCGGUGAAAUUUUGCAGCUCAACUGUAAAAGUGCCUUCGAAACUGGUUUUCUUGUGUGUAGAUGAAGUAGGCGGAAUUUGGGGGGUAGCGGUGAAAUGCAUAGAAAUCACGAGGAACUCCGAUUGCGCAGGCAGCUUACUAAACUACUACUGACGCUCAGGCACGAAGGCGUGGGGAUCAAACAGGAUUAGAUACCCUGGUAGUCCACGCAGUAAACGAUGAUUACUAGCUGUUUGCGAUACAAUGUAAGCGGCUGAGCGAAAGCGUUAAGUAAUCCACCUGGGGAAUACGUUCGCAAGAAUGAAACUCAAAGGAAUUGACGGGG
RNAcentral lists this ribosomal RNA (393 nucleotides) under uncultured bacterium. Its description in RNAcentral is "partial 16S ribosomal RNA". It matches the Rfam family "Bacterial small subunit ribosomal RNA", at positions 523 to 918 of the family's 1533-position model. The record is from RNAcentral.